This 442-nucleotide ribosomal RNA is filed under the name uncultured bacterium. RNAcentral describes it as "partial 16S ribosomal RNA". It matches the Rfam family "Bacterial small subunit ribosomal RNA", at positions 338 to 795 of the family's 1533-position model. The record is from RNAcentral.
CCUACGGGAGGCAGCAGUAGGGAAUCUUUCACAAUGGGCGAAAGCCUGAUGGAGCAACGCCGCGUGCAGGAUGAAGGCCUUCGGGUUGUAAACUGCUUUUAUAAGCGAGAAAUAUGAUGGUAACUUAUGAAUAAGGAUCGGCUAACUACGUGCCAGCAGCCGCGGUCAUACGUAGGAUCCGAGCAUUAUCCGGAGUGACUGGGUGUAAAGAGUUGCGUAGGUGGCAUAAUAAGUAGCUAGUGAAAUCUGGUGGCUCAACCAUUCAGACUAUUAGCUAAACUGUUAAGCUCGAGACCGUUAGGGGUAACUGGAAUUUCUAGUGUAGGAGUGAAAUCCGUAGAUAUUAGAAGGAACACCAAUAGCGUAGGCAGGUUGCUGGGAUGGUUCUGACACUAAGGCACGAAAGCGUAGGGAGCAAACGGGAUUAGAUACCCGAGUAGUC